CCUACGGGUGGCAGCAGUGAGGAAUAUUGGUCAAUGGCCGCAGGGCUGAACCAGCAAAGUCGCGUGAGGGAUGACGGUCCUAUGGAUUGUAAACCCCUUUUGUCAGGGAGCAACGGGCGCCACGUGUGGCGUUUUGCGAGUACCUGAAGAAAAAGCAUCGUCUAACUCCGUGCCAGCAGCCGCGGUAAUACGGGGGAUGCGAGGGUUAUCCGGAUUUAUUGGGUUAAAGGGGUGCGCAGGCGGAAUGUCAAGUCGGCGGUAAAAUUUCGGGGCUAAACCCCGUCGUGCCGUUGAAACUGGCGUUCUUGAGUGAGCGAGAAGUAUGCGGAAUGCGGGGUGUAGCGGUGAAAUGCAUAGAUAUCAUACAGAACACCGAUUGCGAAGGCAGCUUACCAAGCUUCUUCUGACGUUGAGGCACGAAAGCGUGGGGAGCAAACAGGAUUAGAUACCCUGGUAGUC
This 459-nucleotide ribosomal RNA is filed under the name uncultured bacterium. Its description in RNAcentral is "partial 16S ribosomal RNA". It matches the Rfam family "Bacterial small subunit ribosomal RNA", at positions 338 to 795 of the family's 1533-position model. The record is from RNAcentral.